GGUACGUGUUUGGUUUGCAUAUUUUGUUUUGAGUUUGAUAGGCCCAGUAUUGGUUGCCUUUUGUUGUUUGGUUUGUGUGCUGUGUUGGAGAGAGUAUAAUGGUUAGUUUCCAGGCCCUGCCUAGCCUGAACUCUUGUUCUACUUUCUGUUGGGACGUCAGUCUGAGGUGAGUAAUCGGCUGUGUACCUCGGUGGGAGAUUUGGGUAGGGUAGUGGAACUUGCUACCCGGAGCUAUAGCCUUUUUCCCCCUGAUAGGUUUAGCGAUGUGUUUCAUUUUUUGGAAUAUGUUGGGCAUGGUUAAUGUUUUUUAUUUUUGUGUGUUGUCUGUGGACUGAGCAGUUGUCUCGGGGGCACAUCCUUGGCUUGGUGGAAUUUGCCAGCAUGCUGGGGAGUUUUUCCUUGCCAGCGGGCUACAGUGCGUAAAUUCCCACCGCAAAUCUGCAUGAAGACUAGUGUUGAGUUAUUGUAGGUUUUGGGGAAGCUCCAUAUCUCAUCUCUCUUCUGUGGUGCUCAGGGUGAUUGUCAAUUCUCGGGUUGUGGUCUGGUGUGCUCAGCAGAAGGGAAGAGCGAGAAUUUUUUUGUGAUUAUGGCGUCUUAUGUAGAUAAGUUCAUUCACUCUCCAUCAGAGGAAUUGUUAGAUUUAGGUACUAAAGAACAGCUGUUGAAGGUCGCGGAACACUACAAGGUUGAGAUUAGUGAUAAACGUCUAAAGAAUUCUAUUAGGUUGAUAUUGAAGGCCAAUCUGAUGGAGGGUGGUAUUCUUGAAGUUACCACUGGUCCAGCCUCUGCUGAGGAUUUGUCGUCUCCCCAUAACGUUACAAUGGCCAUUCCAUCGGUUAGUCCUAGUAGCCUUCUUUUUGAACAGCAGAAAGAACUGCUUUUGUUACAGCUGGAGCAUGAUCGUGAGAAGAGGGAGCAUGCUCGGCAGCAUGAUCGUGAGAAGCUAGAGCAUGAUCGUGAGAAGCUAGAGCAUGAUCGUGUAAAAUAUGAAAAGGAAUUGGCAUUUAAACAAGAUAUGGAGCGUGCUAAAAUCAAGUUGCAACAAGAACGUAUAGAGUUGGUUAGGGAAGGAAAUAUCUCAGGGGAGAGUUUGUUUUGGGAAGGUGACCCAGAUUUACCUAGGGGUAGUUCUGCUUUUGGUCGUGCCCCAGAGACAUUUGAUAUUGUUGGGAACUUACGGUUAUUGCCUUAGUUUAAUGAAAAGGACCCCGAGACAUUAUUUUUGUUGUUUGAGCGGGUUGCUGACGCUAGGAGUUGGCCUGAUUCUGACCGCACUUUAAUGUUGCAGUGUGUGCUGACUGGUAAAGCGCAGGAAGCAUAUUCAGCUCUUAGUGUACACGACAGUGCCAGUUAUGAUAAAGUUAAAACAGCUGUGUUACAGAUUUAUGAACUGGUCCCUGAGGCUUACCGCCAACGAUUUAGAACUUUAAAAAGGGAUGAUAAGCAGACUCAUGUUGAGUUUGCGCGACAGUUAGCUUUACAGUUUAAUCGCUGGUGUUCCGCCUCUGCAGUUGUGACUUUCCAAGGGCUGUGUGAUCUGAUUAUGUUAGAGCAAUCUAAGGACACAAUUUCUGAUCGUAUUGCCACGUAUAUUAACGAACUGAAAGUAAAGAAUGUUGCUGAAGCUGCGGUUUUGGAGGACGAGUAUGUGUUGACUCACAAAAGUGUCUUUGCAGAGCCCCGUAUUCGGAAAGAGUGGGGGCGUUCGGAUAGAUUUGGGCUUCGCUCACCGAGAUACUUUGGUUCACGGGCAGAGUUCUAUUCAACUAGGGUUGAGCCUGACUCUCAUGGUAAAGCUGACUUUGGGCAGGAGUGUCACUACUGUCAAGGUUCAGGUCAUUGGAAAAAUGAAUGUCCACUUCUCAGGUCAAAGGGUGCUUAUGCUAAAUCUAAGCCUACUGCGUUAGCUGCACCUGUUCCACAUCAGUUCACUCAUGACUCAUUUCCUCAGGCCCAGGAGAAUGUGAAAGUCCAUAUUGAUCCAGACUAUUUACCUUUCAUUAUGGAAGGUUUUGUGUCUAUGUUAGGAAGUAAAGACCUAGUGCCAGUGAAGAUCCUGAGAGACACAGGUGCCUCUGAAUCAUUUGUGUUGGAGUCUGUGUUACCCUUUUCUGCUGAGACUGAUUCGGGGAAUAGUGUUCUAAUUAGGGGAAUAGGUUUGAACACUCUGUCAGUUCCAUUCCAUAAACUGAUGUUGGAUUGUGGGCUGGUGAAGGGUGAAGUUGUUGUGGGGGUGCGUCCUUCGUUGCCUAUUGAGGGUAUCGACGUUAUCCUUGGGAAUAACUUGGCUGGUGAGCGUGUAUGGCCUGUCGUGUUUCCAUCUCUAGUGGUUUCCACUAAGCCGUCAUUUGUUGGGAUUCCUGGAGAGUGUACAGAGUUUCCCAGAGGUGUUCUCUGCAUGUGCAGUGACACGUUCUAUGAGCCGUGGCGACUAAUGAUAAUAAUACAAAGUAUGUCACUGUUUUCCCUGUUAUCCCGUUAUCUGUAACCCGGUCAGAUCUAAUCAAUGCACAACGGGAUGACCCCACAUUGGAAGAGUUGCGUGAUCAAAUUGUGCCUGUAGAACAGUUGGGAGAUGUCGCCCAUGGCUAUUUUCUCCAAGAGGAUGUCCUGAUGAGAAAGUGGGUGUCUCAUGAUAGUAGUUUUCUGGGGGAGGCAAUUAGUCAGGUUGUUGUACCAGUUAAGCUUCGUGAGUUGGUGUUGGAAACUUCUCACAGCGACGUUGCUGGACAUAUGGGGGUGAGGAAAACCUACAAUCUCAUAUUAAGCCAUUUAUUUUGGCCUAGAUUAAAGAGGGAUGUUUCUGAUUUUAUCAAAACUUGCCACACCUGUCAAUUAACUGGUAAGCCUAAUCAAGCUAUUAAACCAGUACCAUUGUUUCCUAUUCCUGUACUCAGCCAACCUUUUGAGUAUCUGAUUAUUGACUGUGUGGGUCCUCUGCCUCGUUCUAAAAAGGGUAGCAGUUACCUGUUCACUGUGAUGUGUCAGACCACUAGGUUUCCAGCUGCCUAUCCUCUCUGAUCUAUCACGACUAAAUCGGUGUUAAAAGCUUUGACUCAGUUUCUCUCAUUGUUUGGAAUCCCUAAGGUCAUUCAGAGUGAUUCUACACCGUGCUUCUACACCUGCAUUGCUUGCUGUUUGGGGUUUUAGGCUGGGUUUCUGUACAGCACUUUGAGAUAUCAGCUGAUGUACGAAGGGCUAUAUAAAUACAUUUGAUUUGAUCAAGGAUCAAAUUUUACCUCAUCUGUUUAGUCAGGUUCUUCAACAGCUCCAUAUUAAACACAAUUUGUCUAGCGCCUAUCACGCGCAAAGUCAAGGAGCACUGGAACGUUUCCAUCAAACACUUAAGUCUUUGAGAGCUUAUUGUACUGAGAUGGAUAAGGAUUGGGAGGAGGGGUUGCCUUGGUUACUGUUAGCCGCUAGGGAAGUUUCACAGGAGAGCACAGGUUUCAGUCCAAAUUACCUUGUGUUUGGACAUGGGGUGCGUGGACUUUUAUCUGUUCUCCAGGAUGACUGGAAGUCUCCCGAGCCUCCUCAGUCCCUAUUAUUGUAUGUGUGUGAUUUCCGGCGACGACUGUACGCCGCUGGUGAAAUGGCUAAAGAGAAGUUAUCUUCACAGGAGAGGAUGAAGGGCAUAUUUGAUUGCCGAGGUGACCAGGUUCUUGCUCUGCUGCCAAUUGUUGGUUCUCCUUUUCAAGCCAAGUUUCAAGGUCCAUAUACAGUGGUGCGCCAGUACACUGAGCAAAAUUAUCUAGUUGCCACUCCAGAACAGAGGAAAGCACACCAGCUAUGCCAUGUAAAUCUGUUAAAACCCUAUUAUGCACGUUCCUCUGAGACUGAACAGUGGGAUUCUACAGAGGACGGUAAAACCUGUUCUUAUGGCUGAUACCGUUGUUUCCUUGGGUUCUUGUUGUGCUAGAUCUGUGCAUGAGGAUGUUCCUGGUCCUGACGAUUGUAUAUUGCAGGGUAGAUUGUCUAAAAUAUCCAGUGUUUCUGAAUUUUUCAGUCUUCUCACUCACCUACCUGUUGAUGGGCGGAAAGAGAUGGUUGGUCUUAUUCAGAGAUUUCCAGGUUUGUUUUCUGAUACACCUACACGUACAAACUUAAUAGAGCAAAUUUGACCUGUUAAAAGGCUAUUGGCAGGUGCCACUGACGAGUAGGGCAGGUGCCACUGACGAGUAGGGCACGUGAAAUCUCUGCCUUUAUUACACCCUUUGGUCUGUACUCUAAUUCGGUUAUGAGUUUCGGUCUGCGUAAUGCACCUGCCACUUUUCAGCAAGUUAUGAACAGGGUUGUCGCCGGUCUGCCCGGGUGCGCUGUUUAUUUGGACGAUGUAGUAAUAUAUGCAGAUACUUGGGAAGAACAUCUGUCCCGUAUUCAAGCCUUGUUCGAACGUCUGGCUGCGGGUCGCCUCACAAUCAAUCUGGCUAAAUGUGAGUUUGCUCAGGCGACCGUUACAUACCUUGGAAAAGUGGUUGGGCAGGGUGAAGUGCGUCCUGUUCAGGCUAAAGUGGUGGCUAUUGAUGCUUUUCUACCACCAACUACUAAAAAGGAACUGAUGCGUUUCUUGGGCAUGAUUGGCUAUUACCGUAGUUUUUGUAAUAACUUCUCUACUGUGGUCGCUCCCUUGACAGAUAUGCUGAAAGCUAAGGCUGUUUACGUUUGGUCUACUCGUUGUCAACAUGCUUUUGAAGAUGCAAAGAGGUUGCUUACCUCAACUCCGGUGCUGGCUGCUCCUCUCAUGGAUUUGUCAUUUACCUUGCAGGUGGAUGCUAGUCAUGUGGGGGCAGGUGCAGUUUUGCUGCAAGCAGAUGUUUCUGGGGUUGCGAGGCCUGUUAGUUUCUUUUCCAAAAAGUUUAACGAUUAUCAGUUGAACUAUUCGGUUAUUGAAAAGAAAGCGCUAGCACUCAUUUGGGCGCUACAACACUUCGAAGUGUAUGUCGGGUCGGGGGUAGUACCUAUUGUGGUCUACACCGACCAUAACCCCCUCACUUUUUUGAGGUCCAUGAUGUGUCCAAACCAGAGGAUAAUGAGAUGGUGUUUAUUUUUACAAUCAUUCCAUCUCGAUGUGCGGCACAUCCGGGGGACUGAAAACGUGAUUGCUGAUGCGCUCUCUCGUGCGCCCUGUUCCUAAAUGUUUACGUGACUGACCAUUGUUUCGUAUUGUCAUGUUCUCUCUGUCCUGUCUGCUCCCUCCUGUCUUGUUUUCUUAUUUCCUCUUAAAUGUUGCUUCCUGUGCGAAGGUCGCUGAGGUCUGUGGAGGAGGUUGGCUGGGGCAAAUUGGAUGAUAGAGGGCUGUCUGAACUGACUCAGCUAUACAGGAAACCUGGGCAGAGACUGGCUAAUCAUGAGAGGAAGGAAGAGAUGGGUAUUGGAAUCCAUAAUGAAGUCUGGUAACCUGACCAUGUUACCUAAAGCCACCACUGACGUACAGUGAACAGGGGACAGCAGUAGCAAACCAAAGCUACAUAAAUUGUCUUAUUGCAAAAUAUUAACAGCUGUGUGGCCCAUUAAAUAUCCUGGCCUGGAUAUAAUAGGAUAGAAUGUGAUGGAUUAUUAUGCUAGCAACAAAAAAGGCUUGUAAUAAGACAAAUCUGAAUUCCUCUAAACAGUGUAUUAAAGUUGACCUAAUAGUGUA
Long non-coding RNA from Oncorhynchus kisutch (coho salmon), 5638 nucleotides. RefSeq lists it as uncharacterized. Lineage: Eukaryota; Metazoa; Chordata; Actinopteri; Salmoniformes; Salmonidae. The transcript has 3 exons. The record is from RefSeq and is a predicted model, not a curated record.